ACGGGUGAGUAACGCGUAGGUAACCUGCCUCUUAGCGGGGGAUAACUAUUGGAAACGAUAGCUAAUACCGCAUAGAAGUCGACAUUGCAUGAUGUUGACUUGUAAGGUGCAAAUGCAUCACUAAGAGAUGGACCUGCGUUGUAUUAGCUAGUUGGUGAGGUAACGGCUCACCAAGGCGACGAUACAUAGCCGACCUGAGAGGGUGAUCGGCCACACUGGGACUGAGACACGGCCCAGACUCCUACGGGAGGCAGCAGUAGGGAAUCUUCGGCAAUGGGGGAAACCCUGAUGCAGCGACGCCGCGUGAGUGAAGAAGUAUUUCGGUAUGUAAAGCUCUAUCAGCAGGGAAGAUAAUGACAGUACCUGACUAAGAAGCCCCGGCUAACUACGUGCCAGCAGCCGCGGUAAUACGUAGGGGGCAAGCGUUAUCCGGAUUUACUGGGUGUAAAGGGAGCGUAGACGGAGUGGCAAGUCUGAAGUGAAAACCCUGGGCUUAACCUGGGGACUGCUUUGGAAACUGUUAAUCUAGAGUGUUGGAGAGGUAAGUGGAAUUCCUGGUGUAGCGGUGAAAUGCGUAGAUAUCAGGAAGAACACCGGAGGCGAAGGCGGCUUACUGGACAAUAACUGACGUUGAGGCUCGAAAGCGUGGGGAUCAAACAGGAUUAGAUACCCUGGUAGUCCGCGCUGUAAAC
This 692-nucleotide ribosomal RNA is filed under the name uncultured bacterium. RNAcentral describes it as "bacterial SSU rRNA". It matches the Rfam family "Bacterial small subunit ribosomal RNA", at positions 102 to 807 of the family's 1533-position model. The record is from RNAcentral.